Molecule: long non-coding RNA, 941 nt
Filed under: Homo sapiens (human)
Lineage: Eukaryota; Metazoa; Chordata; Mammalia; Primates; Hominidae
Description: novel transcript
Source: RNAcentral
GUUGUAGGUGAGGCCAUCGGCGCUGGCGAAGAGCUGCUGCGCGGUGAGGCCGGCCUCGGACACGUAGCGGGUGCUGCCGCUGAUCAGGUUCAAGGAGUACAUGUGCAAGUUUUCAAGUUUUUUACCUGGUUAAUCACAAACAUCUAUAACUACCAAACACAGCUUCUGAACAGCAUUGAGUGUUUGUCAUUCUACCCUGAAAUAAUGUGAUUACAACAGAAGCAAGGCUCAACACCACAUGGAAGCUGCCGAUGCUUGGGGCUUCCACCCUCUGAAGCAACAGCCUGAGCUGUACCUUGGCCCCUUUUAGUCAAGGCUGGAGCAGCUGGGAUGAAGGAGAAAGAUGCCACACUCAAUUUAGGAAGAUUUUGAAGCCCUGUGCUCUGGGACUGGUUACAUUGAUAGACUGGGACUGUAGGAUUUCGAGAAGAAGACCUCACCCAUAAAGUGUCAAUCUCAUCAUGUCAUACCAAGUGUAUAUAAUAUUAUCAGCAUGACCUAUCACUCUUGAUAUUGACCUGGAUCACUUGGCUGAGUCCUAGAAUCUGGAAUUUCCCCCAAGAAGCCCCGGGUCCUUUUAUUGGAGAAUAAUAUUAGAAAACAAGAUCGAGGCACCAGAUUUCUUCCAGAGCCAGUGUCACCAAAGUAUAUACUUAGAUGACAAACCAGGGGUUCCUGCCACAGUUUUGCCACUGUGCCUGCUCCUCAGCCACAUCAUUCCAUGUAGCCAUUUUAGCCAGGGCAUCAUUGACCAAGGUCUGACAAUUAUGAGAAGAAUAGAAGAUCCUGUGAAGCCAUUAUUAGCUCUUGACUCAAUGGCAACAGCCCUUUUUUCCAUUUGAACUAACGCAGUUGUAAAACCUUGGGCAAGUAGUUCAAUGUGCCUGGACCUCAGUUUCCCUCAACUAUGCAAUGCAAUUAAUAAAUCCUACCUCUCAAAA